GCCAGGGUGCUGGAAUUGGUAGACAGGCGUCGCUCAGAACGGCGUGUCUCUUAGACAUGUGGGUUCGACUCCCACCCUUGGCA
Molecule: transfer RNA, 83 nt
Filed under: Candidatus Shapirobacteria bacterium
Lineage: Bacteria; Candidatus Shapironibacteriota
Also listed under: 1 other name
Description: tRNA-Leu
Rfam family: tRNA
About the family: Transfer RNA (tRNA) molecules are approximately 80 nucleotides in length. Their secondary structure includes four short double-helical elements and three loops (D, anti-codon, and T loops).
Source: RNAcentral